RNAcentral lists this long non-coding RNA (245 nucleotides) under Brassica rapa (field mustard). RNAcentral's name for it is "long non-coding RNA (BRAP_LNC006348)". The record is from RNAcentral. Lineage: Eukaryota; Viridiplantae; Streptophyta; Magnoliopsida; Brassicales; Brassicaceae.
GAAUACUCUGUAAAUUCAAGUUAUUGGUUAGCAUCAAGGGAGAAUUUGAAAGAGUACUGGACUGAGAAAAUGUUAAUCCUUCAAUUAAUUGCUUAAAGAAGCAUUAUGGAAUGUUCACAAACCUCCAAAGAUUUAAACCUUCAUGUGGAAAACAAUUUCUGCAGCCAUACCAAUAUCUUGAAGUCUUGCAAGCAGAGGAAUGAAGGUUGAUCCAAGAUGCAAUUUUUGUGGUUUUGAAGGUAAAU